UGGGUAUGAUUUUUAGGAUUAGGGGUCUUCAUUUGGAAAGUGUAACAGAUAGUGCUGAAAUAGAGGUAACUGAAAAUGACUUCUGGGCAUUAUGGUUUUGUGUCACAAUUUGGCUUAGGGUUCGGGAUGUCAUGUGAAUCAAGUACGUUGUUAUUGAAGUGUGAGUAGGAUUGACAGAGUUAAGAUUAGUGUUAGGUAAAGUAUGGUAUUUUGUUGCAUAUUCCUGAACAUUGCAGUGAGGCUGUGACGGGAAGUGUUGGGUUCAAGUUCUACCUAGGGUUAGGGUUUGGGUUGGGGUGAUAGUUAGCUUUGAAAUUGAAAUGCCUGUGUCUUCAAGUGUGUGUUGGAAAGUUAGUAUAAGCAUAAGUUCAUCGUGAGGAUUAGGGAUAAUGUAGAAUUUCAAGUACCUGGGUAUUGGAAUUAGGUCUUGCUGCUUAUGGUUAGGGUUAGGAUUAGUUUUAGGUUUAGGGUUCCAAUUCCUAUACCUGACGUAUGGAGUUUGGGUAUCAUUUUUAGAGUGAGGGGUCAUCUUUCGGUAAGUGUCAUGGAUAGUGCAAAAAUAGAGUUAUGAGAAAAUAACUUCUGGGUGUUCCUGUUUGUGUCACAAUUCAGCUUACAUUUAGGGAUGGCACAUGGAUCAAGUACCUGGUAAUUGGAGAGUAAGUGGAAUUGUUAGAGAUAGGAUUAUUGUUAGCUAAAAUAUAGUGUUUUCUUUCAUAUUCCUGAACAUUGCAGUGUGUCUACGAUGGGUAGUAGCAGGGUUAAGGUUCUAUCAAGUGUUAGGUUUAGGUUUGGGGUGAUAGAUAGGGUUGAUAUUGGAAUGCCUGUGUCUUUAAGUGUGGGUUGGAAAGUUAGUAUUAGCGUAAGUUCAUAGUGAGGGUUAGGGAUAUUGUAGAAUUUCGAGAACCUGGGUAUUGGAAUUUAUCCUGCUGCUUAGGGUUAGGGUUAGGAUUAGGUUAACAUUUAGGUUUCCAAUUUAUGUACCUGAAGUUUGAAGUGUGGGUAUAAUUUUUAGGGUUAGAGUUCUUCUUUUCAUAAGUGUCACUGGUAGAGCUGAAAUAGAGGUACCUGAAAAUGACUUCUGGGCAUUAUGGUUUGUGUCACAAUUCUGUUUAGGAUUAGGGAUAGGACGUGGUUAAAGUACCUGUUUAUUGGAGUUUUAGUAGGAUUGUUAGAGCUAGGAUUAGUGUUAGGUAAAGUAUAGUGUUUUGUAACACGUGCCUGAACAUUGCAGUGUGUGUAUGACUUGUAGUAUUAGGCUUAACGAUCUAGCUAGUGUUAGGUAUAGGGUUGGGGUAAUGGAUAGCAUUGAAUUUGAAAGGUCUGUGUCUUCAAGUGUGGGUUUGAAAGUGAGUAUUAGCGUCAGUUCAUGGUGAGGGUUAGGUGUAAUGUAGAAUUUCAAGUACCUGGGUAUUGGAAUGUGGUCCUGCUGCAUAGAUUUAGGGUUAGGAUUACUUUUAGGUUUAGGGUUCCAAUUCAUGUACCUGAGGUUUGGAGUGUGGGUAUGAUUUUUAGGGUUCGGGGUCUUCAUUUGGUAAGUGUCAUGGAUAGUGCUGAACUAGACUUACCUGUAAAUGACUUCUGGGCAUUA
This 1591-nucleotide long non-coding RNA is filed under the name Heterocephalus glaber (naked mole-rat). RNAcentral's name for it is "lncRNA (ENSHGLG00100041931.1)". The record is from RNAcentral. Lineage: Eukaryota; Metazoa; Chordata; Mammalia; Rodentia; Bathyergidae.